CUCCCUGGGAGGGAUCUCUUGCCUUCUGUCUCUGUCUCUCUGAAAAUUCCAUCACAGAAGCAUGACCAGCUGAAGUCGUCGUCACCCAGCAGCCGCCAGUGAUGUUAGAGGUGUCAGUUCACUAAAACGGUUGGAAUUUCCUUUCUCACCCUAAGUAAAUAAGCGUUCUGUCAUGA
This is a long non-coding RNA of Tupaia belangeri chinensis (Chinese tree shrew), 176 nucleotides long. RefSeq lists it as uncharacterized. Lineage: Eukaryota; Metazoa; Chordata; Mammalia; Scandentia; Tupaiidae. The transcript is spliced from 2 exons. The record is from RefSeq and is a predicted model, not a curated record.